GGGGAUGAGCAUGAGCUGGUUGAAGCAGUGGGCGUCAAAAGCUUUUCCUACUGUGGUCCGUGCUUGCAUGCAAAUUUUCUUGCUAGGCGUAAAGUUUCCAGCAGCUGUGAUGAUCUUGUUCCCAAGUACUUCUUUGCUGAGCUGACAAUCGAUGCAGAUGGUCUGUCGUGUGUUUCAUGCUUCAAGUUCGACUCAGUUGACUGGAAGAACUUUGGCGGUUGUGGAGUGUGCCCGGCAACAUUUGUCCAUCCCGCUGGUGGUGGGUACAUUGGUGCCCGACCUGAAUAUCGUAUUCAGCCUGCUCCCAGUGGUCUACAAUUAUCGUUUAGUUUCUAA
Molecule: ribosomal RNA, 336 nt
Filed under: Triticum aestivum (bread wheat)
Lineage: Eukaryota; Viridiplantae; Streptophyta; Magnoliopsida; Poales; Poaceae
Description: partial small subunit ribosomal RNA
Source: RNAcentral